AAAGAGCUGGGCUAGUAAAUUGUAAUGCGUGUAUUUUACGUCAUAGCCAACGUUUUUACAAAUGAUGGUGUAGAAUUGUAACUAUGAGCAAUUACAAUAACUUAGGCUCGUCUUUAUUGCAUUUAUAGAUUUUAAGAGAACUCAUGACACCCUAACAGCGGUCUUAUAUUAGAAACGGCGAGGACUAAAGAAAUGUACAACCUUUGGAAGAGGCGAUGAAUUAUAAAUCAAGUAAACGGAAGAGUCUAACUGUUGCCAGGUUCUGUUAAACACGGCAGGCUUUAAGACAUGUACGGAAGAUAAUCUUUUUUUCCUCCUGCAGGGAUGGCUACGGUGGGUUUUACCACUGAACUCGGGGUUUUACAAGAGCCAAGCCAAAUCCAACUCCAGAAGUAAUGGGACCAAUCAAACUUAGACUCAAUCCAACAGUGCUGUCGAGAACCCAGAUGAGUAGAUCAUGUGUCCGUGCAGCUCCAAAAUAUGAACAUAUAACUCAGAACCAAAGGAAGCUCGUGUGGUGUGAAAACCAGGGACAAUACAUGUGAACAAGCCACUCGGUGUAAAAUAACACGAAAGUCCAAAACUUAGAAAAGCAAGAUAAUUUAAUGGGAAAAACAAUGGACUAGUAAUGCAUUCCAUACACAUCCAGUGUGUACCAAAUGGUACCAGGUUAAGCGCUUUCAUCCUUUACACAAUGUAGGGCUUCAUCAGAAGACCCCCUCCACACAUGUUUUCUUCCUGAUCAUUGAACAAUAACAAUAGGCAAUCUGAAACAGUGUAAAAGCCAAUCAACAUAAAGACAGAUUGUCAUAAUAAAUCCAUUUUAUGAAUAGCAGGAAAGAUUAUCUGAAAACAGAGCCAGCCUGAACAAUCUACCUGGAUUGUCUCUGCAUCCUUUUACAUCUGAGUGUUGCCUUAUUUGUUGGACUGAAGGCCCUGUGAUAAGCAAACAAGAAGGGAAAAGCUGUAAAUCCCUACUUUGUGCUUUUGUUUGGAUGAUUCUUGAGACUUCAAGACUCUUUUUCCCUAUUUUUAAAUAAGCUGUGAUGCCAUUAUCUACAUCUUCAACAUCUAUAAUGGGAAGUGGAAAAUGAUAUGAUAAGCAUACGAAAUAGGUAUUUUCAGUUAGUGUUGUCAAACAUUUUUCCUGUACUCAGGCUGAAAACCCUUGCAGGCAGUGUAACCUGUUUCGUUACAUCAAGAAUAGCCUUUUCACAUUCUCUCUCUGAAUUUCCCUGAAUAAAUCAUGUUAUUACUCAUGUUAAGUGUUGGAAGAAUGCCUUCAGUCUUGUGGCUCUCAUUAUUAUAAAUACCCUACACUUUGUAUUACACAAGAUAAUAGGAUAGUAGAAAGUAAAUUAGUAGAAUCUUUAUUAUGCUUAAAUAAUAUUUUAGUUGCCAGUGAUUUCCAAGUGAAGGUAAUAACCUUCUAGCCUUUAUUGCUAAGAAUCAUUUGUAUGGUACAUCAAGAGAUGAGAACAAAACUGAAAUGUAUGAUCACCUAAUGUUGUUUUUCUGGGUUUCUUGUAUCCUUUUACUUUAUACAGUUUCAAAAAUAACACAAAACAGAUAAAAAGCUCACACACAAUAGCCACACAAGCAACAUCAAAAGAUCCAGGUUGUGCAGAGUCUUCACUGUGUAGUAUUUUAAAUCUCCUCUAUAAGAGGCCCACGUAUAUGCAAAUUGACAAAUAUGGGUAUGCAUGUGUUUUGUGCUACAUGGCUUCUGAAUGUCACUGAUGUUACCUUCUAAAAUGCUUUCUUGAUCUAUUCAAACCAAUAAAGCCAUGUUUCAAAGAAGAAGAAAAAAAUAUUCAAUUGUUGCCAUGCUUCCUGUACCAAUCAAUAUAUUUUUCUGUUGCGAUGAUGUAUCUGGUAUUCUGAGAUAGAACAUAACAUUUAUGACUUGCAUACUUGGGUGUAAGAGGUAUGAAAGGUUUGUAAUGUUUUAGGUAGUAAAGUUCCAUUAUUAGUCACUUGGCUAUUAGUUGAACUGCCUUGGUCAAUUUUACAAGCAUUAAGUAUUAUUGAAGAGUAAUGGAGUUUCAGU
This is a long non-coding RNA of Protopterus annectens (West African lungfish), 2050 nucleotides long. RefSeq lists it as uncharacterized. NCBI's taxonomy places the organism in Eukaryota, Metazoa, Chordata, Ceratodontiformes, Protopteridae. The record is from RefSeq and is a predicted model, not a curated record. The transcript is spliced from 3 exons.